GCGUAACGCGUGAGCAACAUGCCCGUAUCAGGGGGAUAAUCCAGGGAAACUUGGUCUAAUACCCCAUAGUAAUUUUGUAAGGCAUCUUAUAAGAUUUAAAGCUUUGGUGGAUACGGAUUGGCUCGCGUGACAUUAGCUGGAUGGUAAGGUAACGGCUUACCAUGGCUAUGAUGUCUAGGGGUUCUGAGAGGAAGGUCCCCCACACUGGAACUGAGACACGGUCCAGACUCCUACGGGAGGCAGCAGUGAGGAAUAUUGGACAAUGGAUGGAAAUCUGAUCCAGCCAUGCCGCGUGAAAAGGAAGAAGGUCCUAUGGAUUGUAAACUUCUUUUGUAUGGGAGCAAUAAGGCCUACGAGUAGGUUGAUGAGAGUACCAUACGAAUAAGCACCGGCUAACUCCGUGCCAGCCGCGGC
Molecule: ribosomal RNA, 414 nt
Filed under: uncultured bacterium
Lineage: Bacteria
Description: bacterial SSU rRNA
Rfam family: Bacterial small subunit ribosomal RNA
Source: RNAcentral